CCUAACUCUUAGAGAUGCUGGGAUCAAAGGUCAAUGGUUUUCUUUCCAUGUGCUUGACCGAGCAUGGGCUUCCCUAAGACAAUCCUUAUGGAUAAUUUCCCUUGUGUAUACACAGGAAUUGAAGCUUGUCCUGUUCCUGCUACCUGCAAUUCCUUACCAUCUUUAUACAUCAGUAUCCAGCACUGGCUGCUGCCAGAGAGUUUGCUGAAUGCUAGGAGCACAGCAAAGACAAAAAUUGAUUCAUUUCUUCACCAUCACUACCUCUUGCCAGUAUCAUCUUUAUGCUGUAGUGGGAAGAGCAAUGAACUUGAGGUCAGAAGGCAAUGGCAAGUAAUGAGGCAAGUCAGGAAAAGGAUUUCCCCUCCUUGUGGCAACAUUGUGAUGCAUAGGAAAAUGCACUCAUAAGAGGGAAAUAAAAGCAAUGGACCAAUUCA
This 434-nucleotide long non-coding RNA is filed under the name Monodelphis domestica (gray short-tailed opossum). RNAcentral's name for it is "lncRNA (ENSMODG00000032947.2)". The record is from RNAcentral. Lineage: Eukaryota; Metazoa; Chordata; Mammalia; Didelphimorphia; Didelphidae.